Molecule: non-coding RNA, 574 nt
Organism: Candidatus Desantisbacteria bacterium CG2_30_40_21
Lineage: Bacteria; Candidatus Desantisiibacteriota
Source: Rfam
UAAGCAAAUUAGAUGGUCGCUGUUGGAAACAACAGAGGAAAGUCCGAGCACCGCAGGGCAGGAUGCUGGGUAACACCCAGUGAGGGCAACCUCAAGGAAAGUGCAACAGAAAAUACACCGCCGAUGGUGCUCAAGUAGCCAGGCUAAUCUGAUUUUAGAGGCAUGAGAGACUUUGAGUAGAGUAAACUGUUAUGAAGGCUGGUGAAAUGAUGCCGAUGGUUACUAUGCUCAAAAAAUUUGAGUAUAGUAAGUUGUUAUGUCUGAAAUUCGCGAGUUUCAUGCCUACAGUGGAAAGUUUAGUGUGUUGCUAUGAGAUUAGUCUGGUUAUCUUGAGUACUCAGGUAAGGUUGAAAUGGUGAGGUAAGAGCUUACCAGCAGAGGGGCGAUCCUCUGGCUUGGAAAACCCCAUCCGGUGCAAGACCAAAUAGGAAGGAUUUUGAGAUUACUCAAGGUAGUUGCUCGCUGUUUCCUUCGGGUAGGUCGCUUGAGGUAAAUGGUAAUAUUUAUCCCAGAUAGAUGACCAUCAAGAGGGUUUUUCCCUUUCACAAAACUCGGCUUAUAAUUUGCUUAUACU